RNAcentral lists this transfer RNA (67 nucleotides) under Leptocimbex clavicornis. Its description in RNAcentral is "tRNA-Leu". It matches the Rfam family "tRNA". Rfam says of the family: Transfer RNA (tRNA) molecules are approximately 80 nucleotides in length. Lineage: Eukaryota; Metazoa; Arthropoda; Insecta; Hymenoptera; Cimbicidae. The record is from RNAcentral.
UCUAUUAUGGCAGAUUAAUGCAAUGGUCUUAAGAUCCAUUAAUAAAGAAUUUUUUCUUUUUUUAGAA